This 399-nucleotide ribosomal RNA is filed under the name uncultured bacterium. Its description in RNAcentral is "bacterial SSU rRNA". It matches the Rfam family "Bacterial small subunit ribosomal RNA", at positions 359 to 776 of the family's 1533-position model. The record is from RNAcentral.
GAAUAUUGCACAAUGGGGGAAACCCUGAUGCAGCGACGCCGCGUGAGCGAUGAAGUAUUUCGGUAUGUAAAGCUCUAUCAGCAGGGAAGAAAAUGACGGUACCUGACUAAGAAGCCACGGCUAACUACGUGCCAGCAGCCGCGGUAAUACGUAGGUGGCGAGCGUUAUCCGGAUUUAUUGGGCGUAAAGCGUCCGCAGCCGGUUUAUUAAGUAUAGAAUAAAACUUCGGGGCUCAACCCCGUCUCGUUCUAUAAACUGAUAGACUAGAGUGUGGUAGAGGCAAGUGGAAUUUCUAGUGUAGCGGUAGAAUGCGUAGAUAUUAGAAGGAACACCAGUGGCGAAGGCGACUUGCUGGGCCAUCACUGACGGUCAGGGACGAAAGCGUGGGGAGCGAAUAGG